GACAGAGGGUGCAAACGUUGUUCGGAAUUACUGGGCGUAAAGCGUGUGUAGGCGGCCACGUAAGUCGGAUGUGAAAGCCCCAGGCUCAACCUGGGAAGUGCACUCGAUACUGCGUGGCUUGAGUAUCGGAGAGGUUGGUGGAAUUCUCGGUGUAGAGGUGAAAUUCGUAGAUAUCGAGAGGAACACCGGUGGCGAAGGCGGCCAACUGGACGAAUACUGACGCUGAGACACGAAAGCGUGGGGGAGCAAAACAGG
This 255-nucleotide ribosomal RNA is filed under the name uncultured bacterium. RNAcentral describes it as "partial 16S ribosomal RNA". It matches the Rfam family "Bacterial small subunit ribosomal RNA", at positions 524 to 776 of the family's 1533-position model. The record is from RNAcentral.